RNAcentral lists this ribosomal RNA (377 nucleotides) under uncultured bacterium. RNAcentral's name for it is "bacterial SSU rRNA". It matches the Rfam family "Bacterial small subunit ribosomal RNA", at positions 523 to 898 of the family's 1533-position model. The record is from RNAcentral.
AUACGUAGGUGGCGAGCGUUGUCCGGAUUUACUGGGCGUAAAGGGUGCGUAGGCGGAUAUUUAAGUGGGAUGUGAAAACCCCGGGCUUAACCUGGGGACUGCAUUUCAAACUGGAUAUCUGGAGUGCAGGAGAGGAAAGCGGAAUUCCUAGUGUAGCGGUGAAAUGCGUAGAGAUUAGGAAGAACACCAGUGGCGAAGGCGGCUUUCUGGACUGUAACUGACGCUGAGGCACGAAAGCGUGGGUAGCAAACAGGAUUAGAUACCCUGGUAGUCCACGCCGUAAACGAUGAGUACUAGGUGUAGGAGGUAUCGACCCCUUCUGUGCCGCAGUAAACGCAAUAAGUACUCCGCCUGGGAAGUACGAUCGCAAGAUUAAA